UACGGGGGGGGCAAGCGUUGUUCGGAAUUACUGGGCGUAAAGGGCUCGUAGGCGGCCAACUAAGUCGGACGUGAAAUCCCCAGGCUCAACCUGGGAACUGCAUCCGAUACUGGAUGGCUUGAAUUCGGGAGAGGGAUGCAGAAUUGCAGGUGUAGCGGUGAAAUGCGUAGAUAUCUGGAGGAAUACCGGUGGCGAAGGCGGCAUCCUGGACCGACAUUGACGCUGAGGAGCGAAAGCCAGGGGAGCAAACGGG
RNAcentral lists this ribosomal RNA (253 nucleotides) under uncultured bacterium. Its description in RNAcentral is "partial 16S ribosomal RNA". It matches the Rfam family "Bacterial small subunit ribosomal RNA", at positions 524 to 776 of the family's 1533-position model. The record is from RNAcentral.